CCUACGGGUCGCAGCAGUGGGGAAUAUUGCACAAUGGGCGCAAGCCUGAUGCAGCCAUGCCGCGUGUAUGAAGAAGGCCUUCGGGUUGUAAAGUACUUUCAGCGGGGAUGAAGGUGUUGUGGUUAAUAACCACAGCAAUUGACGUUACCCUCAGAAGAAGCACCGGCUAACUCCGUGCAAGCAGCCGCGGUAAUACGGAGGGUGCAAGCGUCAAUCGGAAUUACUGGGCGUAAAGCGCACGCAGGCGGUCUGUCAAGUCGGAUGUGAAAUCCCCGGGCUCAACCUGGGAACUGCAUUCGAAACUGGCAGGCUAGAGUCUUGUAGAGGGGGGUAGAAUUCCAGGUGUAGCGGUGAAAUGCGUAGAGAUCUGGAGGAAUACCGGUGGCGAAGGCGGCCCCCUGGACAAAGACUGACGCUCAGGUGCGACAGCGUGGGGAGCAAACAGGAUUAGAUACCCCAGUAGUC
RNAcentral lists this ribosomal RNA (465 nucleotides) under uncultured bacterium. RNAcentral describes it as "bacterial SSU rRNA". It matches the Rfam family "Bacterial small subunit ribosomal RNA", at positions 338 to 795 of the family's 1533-position model. The record is from RNAcentral.